Ceratitis capitata (Mediterranean fruit fly) is the source of this 3654-nucleotide RNA transcript. RefSeq lists it as uncharacterized. Lineage: Eukaryota; Metazoa; Arthropoda; Insecta; Diptera; Tephritidae. The transcript is spliced from 6 exons. The record is from RefSeq and is a predicted model, not a curated record.
UAUGGAAACAGGAUAGGGAAAUGAGGAACAGAGUGCUAAGGGUAGUUGGCUAUUCCCUUCCCUUAUAAUAUUUACCAUUGCAACACAAAGUGAGAUCUGAAUUGAACACACAAGAAUUAUAACUUUUUCUCAUGACUAUCGAACAUAAAUAUUUGCGUUUGUAACAACUUUGUUUUAACGAGUUUUUAAACGUUUAAAUUUAAAACAUAAAUAUUAAAGUGAAUAAAUUGUUUCGGGCACAAUAAAAACAUUGAAAGCUCCACAUUCAAACAAAUUUUACAUAAGAAACUCGUCAGUGCGUGGCCAGUUUUCUCUACGGAUUGCAUACAUAUGUACAUAUGUGUAUGUAUACAGAUGAAUGCAACUUUACAUUAACUACGUGAAAUAUGUUUGUGCAGUUACUUCUUGUUAACAUAUUUUUAAUUAGUACAACUACAACGAUUGCUGAAAUAACAGAUACGUGAACGAUAUUUUUACCUCAUUCAUGGAUGAAGAACUACAUUACUAUUGCACUCAAUGACACAUAGUUUCUAGGAGCAAGAGGAAAUGUUGUUGUUCCCUGCAAUUUUAUUUUUUACCAUCUUCCGUAUGCCGAGGCUAAUCAACGCUCGCUUCUGUGAAGGAGGUCAUUAUUGUUCAUUACCAAGGGAAUGCUGCACGCAAGGAUGUUGUCCACCUUACCAAAGCGGCCCUCGACCACUACCGCCACCAUCUGAGCACGUCCUUAAUUUAUUUUUUGUCAGUCACUGGUUUUUUUGGUGCGUAGUUGUUGCGAUUAUUUUAGCACUACUCUGUGCGUAUUCAUUAUGGAAAAAGCGCCGAACGCUGUGUGGAUGGGGAUUCCCAGAGCAUCGCGCUCAAUCAGAGGGUGAUUCGGCCGGGUCCUGUUAUGCUCCACCCCAAUAUAGUCGCUGUAAUUCGUUUCAUCAUCCGCCACCUCCAUAUACAGAGGUUACAUCCAAACCAGACCUUUAUCCUAUUGUUUUCACAUGCAACAGUGAUAAUGCAAAAAGUGGUUCUAGUUAUCUAAUGGUGCAAUAUUUUCGGAACUACAUUGUUCGUCCAUCUUUGUCUGCGGCAAGUACAUUAGAUUCGCUUAGUUCAAGUUUUAUUUGUAAUAUCAAUGAGGCCAACACCCUUGUGCCACCGCCGUAUUCUCGUGCAGCUAGUCCAGAAAAUGGUUUAAGUACACACUUCCAACAACAGUUUCUGUUACCUCGUUCUGCCUCCCAAAUAGUAUAUGCCACUGUGGGUAAUGGAGGGAACAACAUUAUUGAAACGUACGAGAAUAAUGGCCAUAUCAAUCAACAAAUUCUUCAAAGUCAACAAAGUCGUAGUCCACACUUUACUGUCGUAGCUCUAAAUAGUUCAGUUGGCGGAAAUCAAAACAACGUAGCCAAUAUUACAAAUUCGCCGAUGUCUUACAGCACGAUCUUACAAACGUCGGUUGGUGAACAGACCAAUUUCAUCGAAGAGUCUGCGGAGGGCAAUAACAACUGCACAAGUUCCCAAAAUAAUAACGGUGAUAGUAAUAUAAUUAGUAGUGACAACAAAAGUACACGGAGUAGUGAAUGCUCUAACAAUGCUGAUGGAGGUUGCGUCCCGAAGGGUUUUAUUCAGUCUCAAAGCGAGCAACAAUUUCGGUAUUUUAACAAUAGUUUAAGUGAUAUUUUUACAAACAACACCUCAGUUGCUCCCUUUACUUAUACAAACGAUAGAGACAGUAAAUCAGUUGAGAUAAUUAAUUUCGAUAACACUAUGGUAAAUGAACAACAGGUCAAACGUGAUACUACUGUUCUAACAGAUAAUCAUUGGGCACUAGAAGAUUUUGACAACGGCCAACAAACUAACACGCAUCCUACACAGCUUGUCGUCGAAAGGAGUGUUUUUAAACCGACUUAUAAAUCAUGUGACUCAAUUACUAGUAUUCCUCAAGGAGUUUCUGGAGACACAAGCGAACAAUUAGUAGCAGAUAUUAAAGAUUUUAAUUUACUUAGACAAAGUCUAGAAACAUGUUGUCAUAUAUUACAAAAGAAGCAACAUCAACCUCAAACAACGAUAUCGGAUACUUUUAUGACUAACACUAAGGCGUACAACAGAGACGAACUGCUUAAUGCAACAGCGUCGAAUAAUUGUUCUGCGGUGAGCAGCCUUGCAAAUCUUUGCAUAGAGAGUUCGCCACCGCAAGCUACAAGUCCGACAGGAGAAGUGAGAGAGAUUCUCGACCAAAUACGUCAAUUGCAAGAAGAUAUUAGUUAUGACGACUUGUUAAUGCAUAUGAAACCGGCACUAUGUCACACAUUGUCAGCACCAAAGAAUACAGAAAUUGAGCAGACCACUACCCAGCAAAAGGCUCAUCGUAAUUCUGUUGCGUCGUGUGAAAUACAACUGAGCUCAAAUGCAAUAUUUUCUGCUAAUCCAAUAUUCUCCAAAACCAAUGUUUGCAUAGCGACGUCCCCUUUGGAUAAAGGGAAUGUAACGAUUCUAAAACCAAAAUCACAUAAUAAACCUAGGUCAUAUAAUGAUAGUGACGUUUUAUUGAAACGCCCGUUAGCGUUACACCAAAAUAAAAUGAAGUACUUCGCUUCAAAACCAAAUAAAGCUCUUUAUAUUCCAAUGAUUCCUAAUGCAAAAUCAAUGCAUUCGAGCAAAUGUCUCGCAAAAAGUCCAGUCAGCAACAUAGUGGGGACAAAGUUCUUCUCCGGUAGAGGAGGUAAAAUGCGCAGAAUUUUAGUAUCACGAUCAGCACCAACAACACCAGGCACGGCUUUGCCCUCAAAUCCACUAAGCGAUGAUAGUCCGUUACUAACAGAACCAGAUGAAGAUUCGGAAAUUAGUCAAAACGAACAUAUUGAAUAAAACGAGCAUGGACAUACGCAAGUUUUUAUAAAUAUCAAAUAAGGAUCAAAGAGUUUUUCUUUGCACAUUUUCGAUACUCUUAUUAUCGUCAACUCUACUUACAGGCAAAUCGUUUUCGAUAAUUUCACAUUGGAAAAAGUUUUUGUUACAGCUACAUAUGUAUGUAUAAACAAACGUGUACGCCGUACGUACAUGCAUAAUUAAGGACAUAUGUGUCCUAUUCGACCUUAUCAGGAAGUUACAAUGAGUACAUAUGUAUAAAUCCUUACGUCAGUCUUAAGCCCGGUUAACUGCUAAAAACUGAUUCACAUAAGAUUCUUGUCUCAGAUUUGCGAUUUGACAAAUAUAUUCGAAUUGUGCAUUUAUGUAUGUGAGUAGACCUAAAAAGUGAGGAGAGGAUAGGUGAAUCAAUUUAAAGCAAAAUGUUACCGAACAUUCAACUUUUCUGCGUUUCAUAAUUUUACAGACUUUUUGCCUCACUACUGUCACUGUCAGCAAUUUUCUUUAUAUUUAAUAAAAAAAAAAUGCUGGGUAUGUCCAUCAACUAAUAGCGAUUCGUGUGAAUUUGAUAAAGAUUCAAGGGAAGGCUAAUACGAUGAGGACAUGUGUGCAAAUAUUUAAGAUAAUAUUAAAUGCUGUUGGUCCCCGAAAGUUUGUGCCUAAAGUAAACUUAUUAUGCUGCUUAUAAGCUUUGGUAUCAGCAUGAAUCAAUAUCUGCAAAAGCUAAUAUAUUUCUACGAAGGCCUAUGUUUUUUCUCUUAUGGACAGAGUUCUUUGGUUUGACGGAAUAAUUAG